Non-coding RNA from Phalacrocorax carbo (great cormorant), 1416 nucleotides. NCBI's taxonomy places the organism in Eukaryota, Metazoa, Chordata, Aves, Suliformes, Phalacrocoracidae. The record is from RefSeq and is a predicted model, not a curated record.
GGAUGCAGCCGGUGAGUCCGAGGACAGGGCUGGCCCUGCUGUGCCAAGGGGCUCUAGCUGGGGAGAGGGCUGCCUGGACACUCCUGCCUGCAGGAGCUGGCUGAGGAGUGACAGGAAGGGUGUUCCACAGGCAGGUGCCUCCAGCAAGGAACAGCGUGUCGUUGAGCAAGGAAGGAUCCAUCCCGGCCAGAGCACGCCACCAGCACAAGAGUUAAUAAGGUUGGAAAAGGCCUGUGGUAUCAUUGAGUCCAAUCAUCAACCCAACACUACCGUGCCUCCUAAAGCACGUCCUAAAGUGCCACGUAUACGCAUCUUUUGAACGCCUCCAGGGAGGGCAACUGCCCCACCUCUCUGGACAGCCUGUUCCAAUACCUGACGACUCUUCAGGGACAACCUGGUUCUGCACCUUCCAGAUUUCCUUCUUCAACGUCCAGCCUUCCAGGACCCCUUAGCCCUUCAGGACUUCCUCCCAAGGAGCCCUUUCAACCAGUGUCCCGAAGAGUCCAAAGCCUGCCCUCCGCAAGUCCACAGUAUAGAUUUUGCCAGCCCCCCCUUCCUUAUUUUGCCAGGCAUCAGGAAUUCUAUCAGGGUGCAGUCGCUAGGCACAAAAUGGCUUCCAACCCCCACAUCUCCCACCAGUCCUUCUGUUUCUAAAGAGCAGGUCAGUCGAGGCACCUCCCCAGUAGGCUCAUUUACCAGCUGCAUCAGGAAGUUACCUUCCACUUGCUCCAUGAACCUCCUAGACAGUUUCCUCUGCUGCGUUUUCUUUCCAGCAGACAUCUGGUAAGUUCAAGUGCCCCAUGAGAAUAAGGGGUAGCAACUGGGAGAGUUCUGCCAGCUGCCUGUAGAAUUCUUCAGCUACUUCUUCAUUGCAGUCAGGUGGUCUACAGCAGACCCCCAGCUGGAUACCUGCCUCGUUGGCCUUUCCCCUCAUCCUUACCCAUAAGCCGUCAACCUCAUCCUCCCAAUCAUUGAGCUCUCUACAACCAAAACACUACCUAACAUACAGAGCCACCCCACCACAUCUCCUUCCUUGCCUAACCCUUCGUAAGAGAUUAGAGCCAUCCAUCGCAGCACUCGAAUUGUACGAGGCAUCCCACCGCAUCUGGUGAGAAACCGUACUAGGAGCAGCUAAAGUCACUUGGUUUAUUAAGCCUAGAGACAGGGAGACCUCAUCUCCCUCUGCAGCUUCCUCACAAGGGGUGGAGGAGGCACAGGUGCCGAUCAUUUUUCUCCGGUGACCAACAAUAGGACCUGAGGGAACAGCAGGAGGAUGGUCCAGGGGAGGUUUAGGGUGGGUAUUAGGAAAAGGUUUUUCACUCAGAGGGCCACGGAACAGGCUCCCCAGGGAAGCAGGCACAGCACCAAGCCUGACAAUAAUCAAGUAGCACUAGGGCAACACCAUCAGAGGCAUGG